RNAcentral lists this unclassified non-coding RNA (520 nucleotides) under uncultured Entrophospora. RNAcentral describes it as "SSU rRNA". It matches the Rfam family "Eukaryotic small subunit ribosomal RNA", at positions 569 to 1086 of the family's 1831-position model. The record is from RNAcentral. Lineage: Eukaryota; Fungi; Glomeromycota; Glomeromycetes; Entrophosporales; Entrophosporaceae.
AGCAGCCGCGGUAAUUCCAGCUCCAAUAGCGUAUAUUAAAGUUGUUGCAGUUAAAAGCUCGUAGUUGGAUUUCGGGAUUGACACAUCGGUCGUGCCUUAAGGGGUAUGAACUGGUGUAGUCAAUUUCUCACCUUCUGGAGAACCGCGAUGCCCUUAAUUGGGUGCCGCGGGGAACCAGGACCUUUACUUUGAAAAAUUAGAGUGUUUAAAGCAGGCAUUUUGCUUGAAUACAUUAGCAUGGAAUAAUAAAAUAGGACGGCAUGAUUCUAUUUUGUUGGUUUCUAGGAUCACCGUAAUGAUUAAUAGGGAUAGUUGGGGGCAUUAGUAUUCAAUUGUCAGAGGUGAAAUUCUUGGAUUUAUUGAAGACUAACUACUGCGAAAGCAUUUGCCAAGGAUGUUUUCAUUAAUCAAGAACGAAAGUUAGGGAUCGAAGACGAUCAGAUACCGUCGUAGUCUUAACCAUAAACUAUGCCGACUAGGAAUCAGACGAUGUUAAUUUUUAAUGUACUUCGUUUGGCUA